This 433-nucleotide ribosomal RNA is filed under the name uncultured bacterium. RNAcentral describes it as "partial 16S ribosomal RNA". It matches the Rfam family "Bacterial small subunit ribosomal RNA", at positions 29 to 507 of the family's 1533-position model. The record is from RNAcentral.
AACGAACGCUGGCGGCAUGCCUAACACAUGCAAGUCGAACGAAACCUUCGUGUCUUGUGGCGCACGUGUGCGUACCGCGUGGUAACCUACACUUAGGUUCGGAAUACCUCCCCGUAGGGGAUGCUCAUACCGGUUAAUCUCUUCGCGCAUAGGAUUUCUCGCCUUUGGAUGGGCCCGCGUUAGUUUAGCUGGUUGGUAGGGGAAUAGCAUACCAAGGCGACGAUGCAUAGCUGGUCUGAGAGGAUGACCAGUCCCACUGGGAAUGAGACACGGCCCAGAAUGGUACGGGAGGGAGCAGAGGGGAAUAUUGGAGAAGGGGCGAAAGUCUGAUACAGCAAUGCCGGGUGAGUGAGGAAGGCCGUAGGGUUGUAAAGCUGUUUUAGCCGGGAUGAGAAUGACAGUACCGGGAGAAUAAGCUCCGGCUAACUCCGUG